This 491-nucleotide ribosomal RNA is filed under the name uncultured bacterium. RNAcentral's name for it is "partial 16S ribosomal RNA". It matches the Rfam family "Bacterial small subunit ribosomal RNA", at positions 29 to 506 of the family's 1533-position model. The record is from RNAcentral.
AGUGAACGCUGGCGGUAGGCCUAACACAUGCAAGUCGAACGGCAGCACAGUAAGAGCUUGCUCUUACGGGUGGCGAGUGGCGGACGGGUGAGGAAUACAUCGGAAUCUACUUUUUCGUGGGGGAUAACGUAGGGAAACUUACGCUAAUACCGCAUACGACCUACGGGUGAAAGCAGGGGAUCUUCGGACCUUGCGCGAUUGAAUGAGCCGAUGUCGGAUUAGCUAGUUGGCGGGGUAAAGGCCCACCAAGGCGACGAUCCGUAGCUGGCCUGAGAGGAUGAUCAGCCACACUGGAACUGAGACACGGUCCAGACUCCUACGGGAGGCAGCAGUGGGGAAGAUUGGACAAUGGGCGCAAGCCUGAUCCAGCCAUACCGCGUGGGUGAAGAAGGCCUUCGGGUUGUAAAGCCCUUUUGUUGGGAAAGAAAAGCAGCAGGUUAAUACCCCGCUGUUCUGACGGUACCCAAAGAAUAAGCACCGGCUAACUUCGU